Molecule: long non-coding RNA, 2968 nt
Organism: Pipra filicauda (Wire-tailed manakin)
Lineage: Eukaryota; Metazoa; Chordata; Aves; Passeriformes; Pipridae
Exons: 2
Source: RefSeq, a predicted model, not a curated record
GUUUUGAUUAUUCAUUGUAUUUAUUGAUUUUUUUUUUUUAAUUUCGGUAUCUUUUGACUCCAUUAGAGCAAAAUGCUUCCCAGAUCUCCACACUCCAGAGGACUUCAGUGUCCAGCCCAGCCCGUGCCAAAAUUGUGCUCCGAUUGAAUUCACCGCUUUAUUUCUUCUCUGAAGCACAUGGGAGCCACUGCAUCUCCUCUCACUCCCCUGAGGGAUUUGGGGGUUUUUUUUAGCGUUUUUUAAAGUAGGUUCUUCAUUAAUCUGUUUGUCUUAAGCUGCUUAAAAAUACUCAUUGGGUGUAUCAGGAGCCAAGGGCUUAAAAAAAAAAAGUGCAGGAUUUGUGAAGGAUUGACUUGAAUUUCUCGACUGUCUGGAACUGGCAUUACAGCUCAACAUCCUAUAAAAGGAUGAUGUUCCUGCUUUCUUUGUGUACUCACCAGCCCAAUUUUAUGUUCAUGAAGCAAAGUCAGGUGGUUUUUUUUCCAUUUUGUGAUUUUACUGCCUUCUGCUGGUCAGAAAUGACCAGGCUGAGUUUAAUUUUUUAUAAUCAGCACAUUAUCUAAAAUUUAGCUUCAGUGCAAAUACCAACAGUAGAUGUUUUGUGUAUUUCCCAGUGGUUUUUUCGGCAAUCUCAUGGAUAUAUUUCAUAUAGCAGGGUCAGUCAGUGAAGACAAUCCUAGGUAUUAAUAUGCAAAUCAGACAACAUCAUGUUCCAAAGGUUCUGCCUGUUGGCUUGAAGUGGGGAUGUAGCAGAUCACCUUUCUAAUCCUUCCCUGCCUUUCAACUCACUGCUUGCCCUUUGCUUCCAAGCAAAGAUAAAGAUUUAAAAAUAAACCCCAAGUUGCUGUUUGUUGUAAACAAACUGUGGUCCCACAAUAGUGGGUGAUCUAUCAGUGCAGAAGGAAACGGGCCUCCUGCAACCAGAAUUUCAUGAUCUUUUUCAGGAAUAAUAGUUGUUUAAAGUUUUAUCUUUGCUUUUAUUCUCGAAGACAAAGAUGAAUGUGCUUGUCUCUCUGUGUAUGGGCUUGAAUGUGGAGAGCUGAGUAGAUAACGUGGCUCGGAUCUGGCUAAAUGUUGAACAAAGAAUUACCCAGUUCAUCAAAGGAAGUGGCUGUUCCCUUGCCUGAAAUCAGUUGCCUGCACCUUCCUGCUCUGAAAUGGAAUAACUGUGCCCUGAUGCCCUGAGUUGACACAACGUGCCAUCUGGAUAUACACUGGAAAUCCCUCGGGCAGACAGGUAGACACCAAAUGGCAAUGGCAAGACUUAAAAUUAGAGGAGAUACUCUCUGAUUUAUGGAGAUACACAACAUUAUCCACCAAAUACUGCAGAGUGGUAAGAGAACACUGGGCAGUGGGGAAUGAAGCUCCUACUCCUGUAUCUCCCACUGUAUUCCUACUUGAUCUGGGAAUUCAUCUGAGCACCAUCAAUAAUCUACGAUAUAUUUAGAAAACCUCAUUAAACAUUUGGCCAAAUGUGCUUUCUCAAACACCUGUUUGGCUGCUGUCUGAGCAGAGCAGACCCUGGGUCACAGAGCUUGAGAGAAGGGAAUUUUUCCUCAUUUAUUUUUAGUUUCAUUUCCUAGGGAAGUAAGCCAUCUGUGAUCUGUUUCCCUCUGGAAAGUUUUGAAGCUGCUCUGAAGUUUAAGUUUGCAGAGCCUCAGAGAUACUAAAUACCUCCAGUUUUUGUGGAAGUAAAAAGAGACCCUGGAACAGGAUAACAGAAAAACAUGGGAAUCCGGGCUGUGUGAACUUGUGCCCCAUCCUUUCAAGCAGCAAUGAGAGUGGAAGGGGCAGUGUGAGCCUGGAUUGCUGCUCAGGUGGUUGUCUCCCCCAAAGUAGCCAGCACACUUCUGCUUGUACCACUUAAUCCACCCACAACCAGAUUUCUUUAUCCCAGGAUUAGGUAGGGAAGAGGAGGAUUCAGCAGGAUACUUGUAAGAGUCUGUGCCCAGGCUGCCCUUAAUGUAAGAUCUUGGUUGUAUUUCCUCUUGGAGGAGGAAAUAAAGAGCUCAUUAGUGGCAUUUACAGAGUGUUAAACUGGGAGAGAUCAAAAGCUGUGCUGGAGUAGAAACAUAAACUGCCUGAAAAUGAUAAACAUGAGCAGAAAUUGAUGGAAGCUCAGUUGGGAAGACCGUGAGUCCUCCUCUGAGGAGAUUGAACUUCAUGCACCCAUCUACUAAAAUGAAGAACUCGAAGGUAAAUAAUUUCAGAAGACAAAGAAUAAAGGCAAAAGGGAAGCUGACACCAAAUACCACUAUCUGAAGAAGGCUCUAGAAAGGUUAGGACAGUGCUGUGGAUCUAUGAAGGAAAUAAUAUAAAUGUGAGGGAUAUAGCAAAGGCUGCAGGCAUUUGGAGAGUCCUCACUCCUCCUUUCCUCUCCUGGUUUCUCAUUCAUCCAACAGAAUUUGGGCACUGGGCAGACAAGGCUACUCCUUUUCUGAGAACAGCAACAUCCUCUCUCUUGCCAUACAUGUCUAGAGAAGAUCCCUCUGCUUGUGCAGUUCACAUUACACGUGUAGUUCCUUGUCCUUAAACACAUUAUUUGGCAAAAGAAGCAGAGAUUUGGCCCUUCGUGAGUGUGACUCGUUCCCUGUAGCUGCCAGGAGGUGGCUCUCUGCAUUUGCAGUCCCUGUUUACUAUUUUGUUUAUGGAAUUAUGUUGGACACGUUUUCCGUGGAAAAUGUUUUCAGUGUGUUUGCCUUGAGGAAGUUUACGUAAGGAGAACAAGGAAGCCAUGAGCUCAGUAAAUAGUUUGCUAAAAAACAAGGCACAGAGCGGUUCACUUUUGUCAGAAUGUUUUAUGGCUACAAUCCAAAGGGAUUUUUCUUGUGCAGGACCUAAUCUUUUCAUUGUAAGAUUACGUAUGUCAGGCUCAAGGAGUUACAUCUCUGUUUGCAGGAUGCAUUUACCAGAUUUGAUUAUAGCUGAGUAAAAGUCAUUCUCAAUAAAAAAAAGCAUUUUAGUCACA